Molecule: long non-coding RNA, 251 nt
Filed under: Elaeis guineensis (African oil palm)
Lineage: Eukaryota; Viridiplantae; Streptophyta; Magnoliopsida; Arecales; Arecaceae
Description: long non-coding RNA (EGUI_LNC027011)
Source: RNAcentral
CGUACCCUUGAUAUGCAUCUUAAAAUAAUAAAUCUAUAAUUCAAGAUUUGAUGGCUUAAAAUAUCGAAAAAAAACAAAUUGUCUCAACAUUUUAACUAGGAAAAUAGGUAAUAUUCUUGUAACAUGAAUUGCAACGGGUCAAACAUUUGGGUCAACUACGCAACAAAUUAUCUCAACAUUUUAUCUAGGAAAAUGGUUGGUGACCACCGACUAAAAUUGCAAGUUUUAUUGCUAUAACAUGUGUUGCACUG